UUUUUUGGUUCCAUAUGAAUUUUAAAAUAGUUUCUUCUAAUUCUGUGAAGAAUGUCAGCGAUGGGAAUAGCCUUGAAUCUAUAAAUUAUUUUGGGCAGUAUGCCCAUUUUCACCAUAUUGAUUCUUCCUAUCCAUGAGGAUAGAAACAAACACGAUCCAUUUGUUUGUGUCCUCUCUUAUCUCCUUGAGCUUUGGUUUGUAGUUCUCCUUGAAGAGGUCCUUCACAUCUUUUGUUAGCUGUGUUCCUAGGUAUUUUAUUUUCUUUGUAGCAAUUGUGAUUGGGAGUUCAUUCUUGAUUUGACUCUCUGCUUGUCUAUCGUUGGUGUAUAGAAAUCCUUGUGAUUUUUGCACAUUGACUUUGUAUCCUGAGACUUUGCUGAAGUUGCUUAUCAGCUUAGGGAGUUCUUAGGCUGAGAUGAUGGGGUUUUCUAAAUAUAGGAUCAUGUCAUCUGCAAACAGAGACAAUUUCACUUCCUCUCUUCCUGUUCGAAUACCUUUAUUUCUUUCACUUGCUGAGUGCCCUGGCCAGAACCACUAAUUCGAUAUUGAAUAGGAAUGAUGAGAGAGGACAUCCUUGUCUUGUGCUAGUUUUCAAAGGGAAUGCUUCCAGCUUUUGUCCAUUCAGUAUGAUAUUGGCUGUGGGUUUGUCAUAAAUAGUUCUUAUUGUUUUGAGAUAUGUUCCACCAGUAUCUAGUUGAUUGACAGUUUUUAACAUGAAGGAAUGUUAAAUUUUAUCGAAGGCUUUUUCUGCAUCUAUUGAGAUAAUCAUGUGGUUUUUGUCAAUGGUUGUUUAUGUGAUGGAAUAUAUUUAUUGACUUGCAUAUGUUGAACCAGGCUUGUAUCCCAGGGGUGACACUGACUUGAUCAUGGUGGGUAAGUGUUUGAUGUGCUGGUGGAUUUGGUUUGCUAGCAUUUUAUUGAGGAUUUUCACAUUGAAGUUCAUCAGAGAUAUUGGCCAGAAGUUUUGUUUUUUGUGUGUGUGUCUGCCAGAUUUUGGUAUCAGAGUAACGCUGGCCUCAUAAAAUGAGUUAGGGAGGAGUUCGUUCUUCUCAAUUGUUUGGAAUAGUUUCUGAAGGAAUGGUACCAUCUCUGCUGUGUACCUCUCAUAGAAUUCAGCUGUGAAUCCAUCUAUCUGGUCCUGUGCUUUUUUUGUUUGGUAGGCUAUUUCUUACAGCCUCAAUUUCAGAACUUGUUAUUGGUCUAUCCACAGAUUUUACUUCUUCCUGGUUUAGACUUGGGAGGGGGAAUGUGUCCAAACAUUUAACCGUUUCUUCUAGAUUUUCUAGUUUUUUUGCCUAGAGACCCUUAUUGUAUUCUCUGGUGGUAGUUUAUAUUUCUGUGGGGUCAGUGGUGAUAUCCCUGUUAUUAUUCUUUAUUGUGUCUAUUUGAUUCUUCUCUAUUUUCUUUUUUAUUAGUCUACCUAGCAGUCUAUCUUAUUGUGUGUUUUUUUUUUUUUUUCCAAAAAACCAGCUCCUGGAUUCAUUGAUUUUUUGAAGGGUUUUUUGUGUCCCUAUCUCCUUCAUUUUCACUCUGAUCUUAGUUAUUUCUUGUCUUCUGCGAGCUUAUGGAUUUGUUUGCUCUUGUUUCUCUAGUUCUUCUAAUUGUGAUGUUAGGGUGUUCAUUUGAGAUCUUUCUAGCUUUCUGAUGUGGGCAUUUAGUGCUAUAAAUUUCCCUUUUAACAAUGCUUUAGCUGCAUCUCAGAGAUUCUGGUAUGUUGUCUCUUUGUUCUCAUUGGUUUCAAAGAGCUUCUUAAUUUCUGCCUCAAUUUUUUCAUUAUUUACCCUGGAGUUAUUUAGGAGCAGGUUGUUUAACUUCCAUGUAGUUGUAUGGUUUUGAGUGAGCUUCUUAAUCUUGAGUUCUAAUUUGAUUGCAUUGUGGUCUGAAACUCUUUGCUAAGGUCUCAGUUCUUUUCCAUUUGCUGAGGAGUGUUUUACUUCCAAUUAUGUGGUCGAUUUUAGAGUAAGUGCCACAUGGCACGAGAAGAGUGUAUAUUCUGUUGAUUUGGGGUGGAGUGUUCUGUAGAUAACUGCUAGUCCAGUUAGUACAGAGCUGAGUUCAAGUCCUGAAUAUCUUCGUUAAUUUUCUGUCUCGUUGAUCUGUCUAAUAUUGACAAUGGGGCGUUAAAGUCUGGUAUUACUGUGUGGGAAUUGAACUCUCUUUGUUGGUCUCUAAUAACUGUUUUAUAAAUCUGGGUGCUCCUGUAUUGGCUGCAUAUAUACUUAGGGUAGUUAGCUCUUCUUGUUGAAUUGAUCCCUUUACCAUUAUGUAAUGCCCUUCUUUGUCUUUUUUUCCCCCCUAUUUGUGAUGGUCAUACUUAUUUUUUUUUUAAUUAUACUUUAAGUUCUAGGGUGUGUGUCCACAAUGUGCAGGUUUGUUACAUAGGUAUACGUGUGCCAUGUUGGUUUGCUGCACCCAUUAACUUGUCAUGUACAUUAGGUAUUUCUCCUAAUGCUUUCCCUCCCCCAGCCCCCAAGCCUAUGACCGGCCCCGGUGUGAUGUUCCCUGCCCUGUGUCCAAGUAUUCUCAUUGUUCAAUCCCCACCUAUGAGUGAGAACAUGCGGUGUUUGGUUUUCUGUCUGUGUGAUAGUUUGUUCAGAAUGAUGGUUUCCAGCUUCAUCCAUGUCCCUGCAAAGGACGUGAACUCAUCCAUUUUUAUGGCUGCAUAGUAUUCCAUGGUGUGUGUGUGCCACGUUUUCUUAAUCCAGUCUAUCAUUGAUGGACAUUUGGGUUGGUUCCAAGUCUUUGCUAUUGUGACUAGUGCCGCAAUAAACACACGUGUGCAGAUGUAUUUAUAGUAGCAUGAUUCACAACAAUUUGUGUAUAUACCCAAUAAUGGGAUCACUGGGUCAAAUGGUAUUUCUAGUUCUAGAUCCUUGAGGAAUCGCCACACUGUCUUCCACAAUGGUUGAAUUAGUUUACACUCCCACUGACAGUGUAAAAGUGUUCCUAUUUCUCCACAUCCUCUCCAGCAUCUGGUAUUUCCUGACUUUUUAAUGGCCACCAUUCUAGCUAGUAUGUGAUAGUGUCUCAUUUUGGUUUCGAUUUGCAUUUCUGUAAUGACUAGUGAUGAUAAGCAUUUUUUCAUGUGUCUGUUGGCUGCAUAGGUGUCUUCUUUUGAGAAGUGUCUGUUCAUGUCCUUUGCCCACUUUUUGAUGGGUUUGUUUAUUUUUUUCUUGUAAAUUUAAGUUCUUUUCAGAUUCUGGAUAUUAGCCCUUUGUCAGAUGGGUAGAUUGCAAAAAUUUUCUCCCAUUCUGUAUCUAGCCUGUUCACUCUGAUGGUAGUUUCUUUUGCUGUGCAGAAGCUCUUUAGUUUAAUUAGAUCCCAUUUGUCUAUUUUGGCUUUUGUUGCCAUUGCUUUUGGUGUUUUACUCAUGAAGUCCUUGCCCAUGCCUGUGUCUUGAGUGGUAUUGCCUUUAUUUUCUUCUAGGGUUUUUAUGGUUUUAGGUCUAAAAUUUAAGUCUUUAAUCCAUCUUGAAUUAAUUUUUGUAUAAGGUGUAAGGAAGGGAUCCAGUUUCAGCUUUCUACAUAUGGCUAGCCAGUUUUCCCAGCACCAUUUAUUAAAUAGGGAAUCCUUUCCCCAUUUCUUGUUUUUCUCAGGUUUCUCAAAGAUCAGAUGGUUGUAGAUGUGUAGUGUUAUUUCUGAGGCCUCUGUUCUGUUCCAUUGGUCUAUCUCUCUGUUUUGGUACCAGUACCAGGCUGUUUUGGUUAUUGUAGCCUUGUAGUAUAGUUUGAAGUCAGGCAGCAUGAUGCCUCCAGCUUUAUUCUUCUUGCUUAGGAUUGUCUUGGCAAUGCAGCUCUUUUUUGGUUCCAUAUGGACUUUAAAUUAGUUUUUUCCAAUUCUGUGAAGAAAGUCAUUGGUAGCUUGAUGGGGACAGCAUUGAAUCUAUAAAUUACCUUGGGCAGCAUGGCCAUUUUCAUGAUAUUGAUUCUUCCUAUCCAUGAGCAUGGAACGUUCUUCCAUUUGUUUGUGUCCUACUUUAUUUCGUUGAGCAGUGGUUUGUAGUUCUCCUUGAAAAGGUUCUUCACAUCCCUUGUAAGUCAGAUUCCUAGGUAUGUUAUUCUCUUUGUAGCAGCUUUGAAUGGGAGUUUGUCUCUGUUUGUCUGUUAUUUGUGUAUAGGAAUGCUUGUGAUUUUUGCAUAUUGAUUUUGUAUCCUGGGACUUUGCUGAAGAUGCUUAUCAGCUUAAGGAGAUUUUGGGCUGAGAUGAUGGGGUUUUCUAAAUAUAAAAUCAUGUCAUCUGCAAACAGGGACAAUUUGACUUCCUCUUUUCCUAAUUGAGUACCCUUUAUUUCUUUCCCUUGCCUCAUUGCUCUGGUCAGAACUUCCAACACUAUAUUGAAUAGGAGUGGUGAGAGAGGACAUCCUUGUCUUGUGCCAGUUUUCAAAGGGAAUGCUUCCAGUUUUUGCCCAUUCACUAUGAUAUUGGCUGUGGGUUUGUCAUAAAUAACUCUUAUUAUUUUGAGAUAUGUUCCAUCAAUACCUAGUUUAUUGAGAGUUUUUAGCAUGAAAGGCUGUUGAAUUUUGUUGAAGGCCUUUUCUGCAUCUAUUGAGAUAAUCAUGUGGUUUUUGUCAUUGGUUCUGUUUAUGUGAUGGAUUACGUUUAUUGAUUUGCAUGUGUUGAACCAGCAUUGCAUGCUAGGGAUGAAGCCAACUUGAUCGUGGUGAAUAAGCUUUUUGAUGUGCCGCUGGAUUUGGUUUGCCAGUAUUUUAUUGAGGAUUUUUGCAUAUAUGUUCAUCAGGGACAUUGGUCUAAAAUUCUCUUUUUUUGUUGUGUCUCUGCCAGGCUUUGGUACCAGGAUGAUGCUGGCCUCAUAAGAUGAAUUAGGGAGGAUUCCCUGUUUUUCUAUUGUUUGGAAUAAUUUCAGAAGGAAUGGUACCAGAUCCUUUUUGUACCUCUGGUAGAAUUUGUCUGUGAAUCCAUCUGGUCAUGGACUUUUUUUGGUUGGUAGGCCACUGAUUAUUGCCUCAAUUUCAGAGCCUGUUAUUCGUCUAUUCAGAGAUUCAACUUCUUCCUGGGUUAGUCUUGGAAGGGUGUAUGUUUCCAGAAAUUUAUCCAUUUCUUCUAGAUUUUGUAGUUUAUUUUUGUAGAUGCAUUUAUGGUAUUCUCUGAAGGUAGUUUGUAUUUCUGUGGGAUCGGUGGUGAUAUCCCCUUUAUCAUUUCUUAUUGCGUCUAUUUGAUUCUUCUCUCUUUUCUUCUUUAUUAGUCUUGCCAGCAGUCUAUCAAUUUUGUUGAUAUUUUGAAAAAACCAUCUCCUGGAUUCAUUGAUUUUUUUAAGGGUUUUUUGUGUCUCUAUUUCCUUUAGUCUUGCUCUGAUCUCAGUUAUUUCUUGCCUUCUGCUAGCUUUUGAAUUUGUUUGCUCUUGCUUCUCUAGUUCUUUUAAUUGUGAUGUUCGGGAGUCGAUUUUAGAUCUUUCCUGCUUUCUCUUGUGGACAGUUAGUGCUAUAAAUUUCCCUCACACACUGCUCUAAGUGUGUCCCAGAGAUUCUGGAAUGCUGUGUCUUUGUUCUCAUUGGUUUCAGUGAACAUCUUUAUUUCUGACUUCAUUUCGUUAUUUACCCUGUAGUCAUCAGGAGCAGGUUGUUCGGUUUCCAUGUAGUUGUGCAGUUUUGAGUGAGUUUCUUAAUCCUGAGUUCUAAUUUGAUUGCACUGUGGUCUGAGAAACAGUUUGUUGUGAUUUCUGUUCUUUUACAUUUGCUGAGGAGUGCUUUACUUCCAUCUAUGCGGUCAGUUUUGGAAUAAGAGCGAUGUAGUGUUGAGAAGAAUAUAUAUUCUGUUGAUUUGUGUUGGAGAGUUCUGUUGAUGUCUAUUAGGUCCCCUUGGUGCAGAGCUGAGUUCAAGUCCUGGAUAUCCUUGUUAACCUUCUGUCUCAUUGAUCAGUCUGAUAUUGACAGUGGGGUGUUAAAGUCUCCCAUUGUUAUUGUGUGGGAGUCUAAGUAUCUUUGUAGGUCUCUAAGGACUGGCUUUAUGAAUCUGGGUGCUCCUGUUGGGUGCAUAUAUAUUUAGGAUAGUUAGCUCUUCUUGUUGAACUGAUCCCUUUACCAUUAGGUAAUGGCCUUCUUUGUCUCUUUUGAUCUUUUUUGGUUUAAAGUCUGUUUUAUCAAAGACUAGGAUUGUAAACACUGCAAUUUUUUCUUUUCUUUCCAUUUGCUUGGUAGAUCUUCCUCCCUGCCUUUAUUUUGAGCCUGUGUGUGUCUCUGCACAUGAAAUGAGUGUCCUGAAUACAGCACACUGAUGGGUCUUGAAUCUUUAUUUAAUUUGCCAGUCUGUGUCUUUUAAUUGGGCCAUUUAGCCCAUUUACAUUUAAGGUUAACAUUGUUAUGUGUGAAUUUGAUCCUGACAUUUUGAUGUUAGCUGGUUAUUUUGCCCAUUACUUGAUGCAGUUUCUUCCUAGCAUCCAUGGUCUUUACAAUUUGUUAUGUUUUUGCAGUGGCUCGUACCAGUUUUUCCUUUCCAUGUUUAGUGCUUCUUUCAGGAGCUCUUGUAAGGCAGGCCUGGUGGUGACAAAAUCUCUCAGCAUUUGCUUGUUUGUAAAGGAUUUUAUUUUUCCUUCACUUAUGAAGCUUAGUUUGGCUGGAUAUGAAAUUCUAGGUUGAAAAUUCUUUUCUUUAAGAAUGUUGAAUAUUGGCCCCUACUCUCUUCUGGCUUGUAGAGUUUCUGCAGAGAGAUCCACAUUAGUCUGGUGAACUUCCCUUUGUGGGUAACCUGCCCUUUCUCUCUGGCUGCUCUUAACAUCUUUUUCUUCCUUUCAACCUUGGUGAAUCUGACAAUUAAAGUGUCUUGGGGUUGCUCUUCUUGAGGAGUAUCAUUGGGUGUUCUCCGUAUUUCUUGAAUUUGAAUGUUGGCCUGCCUUGCUAGGUUGGGGAAAUUUUCCUGGAUAAUAUCCUGAAGAGUUUUCCAACUUGGUUCCAUUCUCCUUGUCACUUUCAGGUACACCAAUCAAAUGUAGAUUUGGUCUUCUCACAUAGUCCCAUAUUUCUUUGAGGAUUUUUGUUCAUUUAUUUUUACUCUUUUUUCUCUAAACUUCUGUUCUCACUUUAUUUCAUUAAUUUGAUCUUCAAUCACUGAUAUCCUUCCUUCCACUUGAUCGAAUUGGCUACUGAAGCUUGUGCGUGCAUCACAUAUUUCUCGUGCCAUGGUUUUUAGCUCCAUCAGGUCAUUUAAGCUAUUCUCUACACGGUUUAUCCUAGUUAGCCAUUUGUCUAAUCUUUUUUCAAGGUUUUUAGCUUCCUUGCAAUGGGUUUGAAUAUCCUCCUUUAGCUCAGAGAAGUUUGUUAUUACUAACCUUCUGAAGCCUACUUCUGUCAACUCAUCAAAGUCAUUCUCUGUCCCGCUUUGUUCCAUUGCUGGCAAGGAGCUGCAAUCCUUUGGAGGAAAAGAGGCACUCUGAUUUUUAGAAUUUUCAUGUUUUCUGCUCUGGUUUCUCCCCAUCUUUGUGGUUUUAUCUACCUUGGUCUUUGAUGUUGGUGACCUAGAGAUGGGGUUUUAGUGUGGAUGUCCUUUUUGUUAAUGUUGAUGCUCUUCCUUUCUGUUUGUUAGUUUUCCUUCUAACAGUCAGGUCCCUCAGCUGCAGGUCUGUUGGAGUUUGUUGGAGGUCCACUUCAGACCCUGUUUCCCUGGGUAUCAACAGCAGAGACUGCAGAACAGCAAAUACUGCAGGACAGAAAAUAUUGCUGUCUGAUCCUUCCUCUGGAAGCUUCAUCCCAGAGGGGCAUCUGCCUGUAUGAGGUGUCAGUCAGCUCCUAAUGGGAGGUUUCUCCCAGUUAGGCUACACAGGGUUCAGGGACCCACUUGAGGAGGCAGUCUGUCCAUUCUCAGAGCUCAAACGCUAUGCUGGGAGAACCACUGCUCUCUUCAGAGCUUUCAGACAGGGUCGUUUAAGACUGCAGAAUUUUCUGCUGCCUUUUGUUCAGCUAUGCCCUGCCCCAAGGUGGGGUCUAUGGAGGCAGCAGGCCUUGCAGAGCUGAGGUGGGCUCUGCCCAGUUCAAGCUUCCCCAGUCUCUUUGUUUACCUACUCAAGCCUCAGCAAUGGUGGACACCCCUCCCGCUGCCAGGCUGCUGCCUUGCAGGUAGAUCUCAGCCUGCUGUGUUAGCAGUGAGCAAGGCUCCAUGGGCAUGGGACCUGCUGAGCCAGGCAUGGGAUAUAAUCUGCUGGUAUGCCAUUUGCUAAGACUGUUGGAAAAGCACAGUAUUUGGGCAGGAGUGUCCCAAUUUUCCAGGUACAAUCUGUCAUGGCUUCCCUUGGCUAGGAAAGGGAAAUCCCCUGACCCCUUGCGCUUCCCGGGUGAGGCGAUGCCCCACCCGGCUUUGGCUCGCCCUCCGUGGGCUGCACCCACUGUCCAACCAGUUCCAAUGAGAUGAACCAGUUACCUCAGUUGGAAAUGCAGAAAUCACCAUCUUCUGCAUUGAUCACGCUGGGAGCUGCAGACCAGAGCUGUUCCUAUUUGGCCAUGUUGGAAUGGACCAUCCCUUGUCUUUUUGAUAUUUGUUGGUUUAAAGUCUGUUUUGUCAGAGACUACAAUUGCAGCCCCUAGUUUUUUUCUGCUUUCCAUUUGCUUGAUACAUUUUCCUUUAUCCUUUUAUUUUGAGUCUAAGUGUGUACUCUUGAAUACAGUACACCAAUAGGUCUUGACUCUAUCCAAUUUCCCAGGCUGUGUUUUUUAAAUGGGUCAUUUAGCCCUUUACAUUUAAGGCUAACAUUGUUAUUUGUAAAUUUGAUCCUGUCGUCAUGAUGCUAGCUGGUUAUUUUGCACACUAGUUGAUGCUAUUUCUUCACUGUGUCAUUGGUCUUUAUAAUUUCAUGUGUUUUGCAGUGGCUGGUACUGGUGUUCCAUUUCCACGUUUAGUGCUUCCUUUAGGAGCUCUGGUAAGGCAGGGCUGGUGGUGAUAAAUUCCUCCAGCACACAUAUGUCUGAAAAUGAUUUUAUUUAUCCUUUGAUUAUGAGGCUUAGUUUGGCCAGAUAUGAAAUUCUGGGUUGAAAAUUUUUUUCUUUAAGAAUGUUGAAUAUUGACCCCUACUCUCUUCUGGCUUGUAGGGUUUCUGCUGAGUAAUCCACCAUUAGUCUGAUGAGCUUCCCUUUGGAGGUGAUCUGACUUUUCUCUCUGGCUGCCCUUAACAUUUUUUCCUGCAUAUGGACCUUAUAGAAUCUGAUGAUUGUGUGUGUUGGGGUUGAUCUUCUUGUAGUAUAUCUUAAUGAUGUUCUCUGUAUCUCCUGAAUUUGCAUGUUGGCUUAGAGUAGCCAUGGUUAAAAAUCUAAUGAAAGUUUAUAGUUAACAAGGAUAUUUGGAUAUUUCAUUUACAUAUAGCAUUUUAAAUAAACACAAGAAUAAUGACGGAUAACAUAUUAGAUAUCUAUGAAUUUAUAUAAUUUUGAAUUUUUUUUUUUGAGAUGGAGUCUCGCUCUGUCGCCCACGCUGGAGUGCAGUGGCACUGUCUUGGCUCUCUGCAAGCUCCGCAUCCCAGGUUCACACCAUUCUCCUGCCUCAGCCUCCUGAGUAGCUGAGACUAAAGGCGCCCGCCACCAUGCCAAGCUAAUUUUUUGUAUUUUUAGUAGACAUGGGGUUUCACCAUAUUAGCUAGGAUGGUCUUGAUCUCCUGACCUUGUGAUCCACCUGCCUCAGCCUCCCAAAGUGCUGGGAUUACAGGCUUAAGCCACCAUGCCCAGCCUAAUUUUGAAAUAUUUAUAUUAACCCAUAAGUGCAAUGAAAGGAAGAUCUAGUGUUGGUCAAGUGCACAGGCUCAUGCCUGUAAUCCCAGUACUUUGGAAGGCCAAGACAUGUGGAUCACCUGAGGGUCAGGAGUUCAAGACCAGCCUGGCCAACAUGGUAAAAUCUCAUCUCUACUAAAAAUACAAAAAGUAGCUGGGUGUGAUUGUGGGUGCCUGUAAUCCCAGCUAACUUGGGAGGCUGAGGCAGAAGAAUCGCCUGAACCCCGGGGGAGAAGGUCGCAGUGAGCCGAUAUCCUACCACUCUACUCCAGCCUGAGUGACAGAUUGAGAAUCCAUCUAAAAAAAAAAAAAGAUCUGGUAUUACAUAUUUCUGUCUCAGUGCAGUUGUGUUGCUGUAAAGGCACAUCUGAUUCUGUGUAACUUACAAAGAGGUUCACGUAGCUCACAGUUCUAUGGGCUAUACAUGAAGCUUGGAAUUAACAUCAGCUUCUGGUGACAGCUUCAGGCUGCUUCCACUCAUGGAAAGGAAAGGGAAGGCAGCCUCUGAAGAGAUUAUAUGGCCAGAGAGGGAACUAGAGAAAUGGCAGGGGCAAGGGGAAAGAGAGGGAGAUGCCAGCCUCUUUUCAACCAUCAGCUCUUCAGGGAAAUGAUAGAUUAAAAACUGUCUCGCUGUCCUCUCCCAGGGAAGGCAUUAAUCUGUACACAAGGCAUCCACGUUCAUGACCCAAAGAUGAUCCAUUAGGCUGCAUCUCCAGCGUUGGGGAUAAUAUUUCAACAGGAGGUUUGGAGGGUCAAAUAUUCGAACAAUAGCCAUUUCUUAUGUGAUUUAUCAAAUAGGCCUAAUCAUCUAAUAUCUCCAAAAGGUUCAAGGGGUAUGUGGGCCAGCUGGUUACCUAGAGUUUUGCUCCUGUUGCCCAGGCUGGAGUGCAAUGGCGCAAUGUUGGCUCACCGCAAUGUCUGCCUCCUGGAUUCAAGUGAUUCUCCUGCCUCAGCCUCUCAAGUAGCUGGGAUUACAGGUUGAUUCUGCAUCUUGGAUAUUGUGAAUAAUGCUGCAAUGAACAUGAGACUGCAGAUCUUCAACAUGUCAAUUUCAUUAUCCUUUGGAGAUAUAUCUAGGAAGGAGAGAUGAUGUUUCAUCAUGUUUGCUAUGCUUGUCUUGAACUCUGGACCUCAAGUGGUCCAUCCGUCUCAGCCUCCUAUAGUGCUUGGAUUACAGCAAUGAGCCACUGCCCCGGCCCUGAAUUUCUGAAAUAAUGUUAAAGGUUUUGACUGGAUCAUCCUUAUUAUCCAGCAAUUUUAUGUCAAAUCUUGUGAGAUGGGUUGAAAACUAGGCCCUGCAAAGAUGUUAAUUUUCUACUCUUUGUCACUGCAAUAAUUUUUUUUAUUGCCAGUGGGUCUUUGCAGAUGUGAUGAACAACCUUGAGAUGAGAGAUCAUCCUGGAAUAUUCAGGUGGACCGUAGAUGCCACAGUAACUUUCCUUAUAAAGAAGAGACAUGGGAACUCACAUAAGACAAACACAUAGAGAACCUGAUGUGAAGAUAUAACCCAAGGCUGGAGUAUGCAGCCACAGCCAAGGAAUGGCAGCAAGCACAAAAUGCUAAAGAGAAAUGGAAUGGAUUCUCUCCUAGAGCCUCUGAAAGGAGCAUAGUCCUGCCAACACCUUUAUUUCCACCCUGGGAUACUGAUGUGUUAAUUUUUUAUCAUGUGGAACUGUGAGAAAAUACAUUUUAUGUUGUCUGCCACCAAGUUUGUGGUAACUUAUUACAGCAAACACAAGAAUGUAUACACCCUCCUAAGUAUUUUCCUGUGUGUAACUCCUUGUUUUUUUUCACAGAAGCACCAGGCACUGAUGAUCCAUACAUAAAUGAAUAGGUCCUGCAUGUUUCCCCACUCCUUUAUAGAAGAGUCCAACACCUAGAUUCUAAACAUAUGGAAUAGUGCCACGGUGAUCCAAGUACUAAAGGAUGAGAGGAGAGUUUUUGUUUUUUGUUUUUUGUUUUGUUUUGUUUUUGUUUUUGUUUUUGUCUUGAGACCAGGUCUUGAUCUGUUGCCCAGGCUGGAGUACAGUGGUGUGAUCUCGGCUCACUGCAACAUCUGCCUCCCAGGUUCAAUCAAUUCUCCAGCCUCAGCCUCCCAAGUAGCUGGGAUUAUAGGCAUGCACCACCAGGCCUGGCUACUUUUUGUAUUUUUAGUAGAGACGGGGUUUCACCAUCUUGGCCAGUCUGGUCUCAAACUCCUGACUUCAGAUGAUCUGCCUGCCUUGGCCUCCCAAAGUGCUGGGAUUACAGGUGUUAGCCACUGUGCCUGGUCAAGUUUUUGCUUUUAAGUCAACCUCAGGGAGUUUGGGAAACGCCACUAAAAGAUAAUCACUACUAUUUGAGCAGAGGAGGAAGCCAUAUUAUAUUCCAGGAGUGAUAACAAUCAGAUGGUUAUGGUUCCCUGUGAUUGAGAAUCACUUUGUGUCUCAAUAUAAAUUUGGAAGACCCAGAUUAUGUAAUUUCUUCAAGCUUCACAUUUUGUAAAUAAAAUAUCAAUGAACAUUUCACACUGUAUUUAUUGAUGGAACUUAAGCAAGGAAACAAAUUAUCAGAAGUAAGUUCUUCUGUUAUUUUAAUUGGCUCUUAGACAAACAAAAUCCCCAUCUGUGCUUGUUAUAACAAGUCCUACAAUAUACAGUUGCAUUUUAGAAAGUAAUAAAUUUAAUCUUAUCUCUUUCAGUUCAAAACCUUUAAGAGUAACCAAGUUUGUAUUCUACCACUUUGUGUUAACAAGGUGAAUAGGCAAAAUUUACUUAUGGUUUUGUCACAUGUUGUUAAUAUCAGAGGUCAGUGUUAUGCAUAGCACUCUACUGCUUCUUUUGCUUAUGGAUUUAUUAGGCACACCAGUAAAAGUUUACAGUCAUAAUCAUGUAAAAACUAAGAUUUAUAUAUGGUCUGUUUUUUAAAAGGUUUUUAUUGUUAUUUCUUUUUCUAGCUGUUUACUUUCCUGUAUAAUUUUGUAUUUGUAAUUUUUUUUGAUAUGGAGUGUUGCUCUGUUGCCCAGGCUAGAGUGCAGUGGCACAGGCUCAGCAAUCUUAAAAGAUUGCUGAAUAAGUGGUUAUGACUAUUUCACCUCUUUUAAAGGAGUAUUUUUACAUUUCAGAAGGUAGAUGUGGAGGAGGGGGGAGGGAUAGCAUUAGGAGAAAUACCUAAUGCUAAAUGAUGAGUUAAUGGGUGCAGCACACCAGCAUGGCACAUGUAUACGUAUGUAACUAACCUGCACAUUGUGCACAUGUACCCUAAAACUUAAAGUAUAAUAAUAAUAAAAAAAAGAAGGUAGAUGGAGCUUAAGACUGUGGUGACAUUCCAGGAGUUUUAAGCCUCAGAUGCCCCUUUUCUCCAUGGAGACAGUCCCCCAAAAGAAACUAUUUAGUUUGGAGAGUAUAAAGCUUUCUCUCCUUCUCAAAGGAGAUUAAAUGGACAGAGUGUAUGUGUACAUAAGUCAGUUUCAAAAUUUCUGGUUUCCUCAUCUACAGCACAGACCAUGGUUUGUGUAGAGUGAUAUGGAACUAGCUUUCAUCACUUCUCCUCAGAAAAGGAGAGAAUUGGGGUAAACGGGAUCUGGAACAGUUACUGCAGCAAGUUGGUGAUAGUUAAUACAUUCUCUUCUCCAGGAACCUGGGGUCUGCUUUCAGGAUAAUAUGAAUAAUGUAGAUAUUAAAAAUGUAUCACCCAUAUUCUGAUAUGUUUCAAUAUACUGAAAGAAUAUGUGUGUAUGAACCUCAGAGCUUGGUAAUGUAUGUGUACAUGACACUAAACCCACCAAAAACACAGGGAAAGGAAACGCACACACACACACACACACACACACACACACACGUAAUGCUGUCUAGCCGUGAAUACAGUUUACAUAAAUAUGUAAAAACAGAUUUCAUAUGUCUGUUUUUUAAAAGAUAUUUUACUGCUAUUUCUUUUUCCAACUGUUAACUUUCCCUGUAAUUUUGUAUUUGUAAUUGUUUUUGAGAUGGAGUCUUGCUCUGUUGCCCAGGCUGGAGUGCAGUGACACAAUCUCAGCUCACUGCAACCUCCACCUCCCAAGUUCAAGCGAUUCUCCUGACUCAGCCACCUGAGUAGCUGGGAUUAUAGGCACAUGCCAUCAUGCCUGGCUGAUUUUUAUACUUCUAGUAGAGAUGGUGUUUCGCCACGUUGGCCAGGCUGGUUUCGAACUUCUAGUCUCAUGUGAUCUGCCAUUGCCUCCCAAAGUGCUGGGAUUACAGGAAUGAGCCACUUCACCUGGCUUUGAAAUUCUUGUAUUUUCCCAAAUAGACCCUUUGCUUGAAAAGUCAUCUGUAUUUUAUUUAUGUUUUUUAUUUUUUUAUUUUAUUUUAAAAACAGGAUGUUCCUCUGUCACCCAGGCUGGAGUGCAAUGGCAGGUCCAUAGCUCACUGCAACUUCAAACUCCUGGGCUCAAGCAAUCCUCUUGCCUUAGUCUUUCAAAGCACUGGGAUUAUAGGUGUGAGCCAUCAUGCCGACCUAUCGCUUUACAUUUUCAUUUCAUGUUAAUUUUAUGCUAUCAAAUAACAUAAAAUGGCUCCACAGAUGAAACCACUUUUGAUCUUUCACUCUUUGUGGCUAAGACAAUGCAUAGGUUUUCCACGGCAGCCUUGUCAAUUAGGACUACCUCCUUUAUGAUCCUGGUUCUUGCUGUCAUCUUUCAGACUGAUAAGUUGCAAAUGGAACAACAGCAACAAUGGCAGCAGCAGCAGACACUUCUCCAGCCUUACAGUGCUAUAAGGAGGAAUGUGUUCUGUCAGGGGCUCUACAUUUAGUUUCUGGAAAGACCUAGACUGUGACUGCUAUUUUUGGAUUGCCAUAGUGAGACAACGGCCUUAGUGCCACUCUGACUUACCAUCAUUUUGGGUUUCCCAUCUCAGCACAUCAUUCAUAGGUUAUGUUGCAGAUUUCUUUUUCUUUUUUUUUUUUUUUUUGUUGAAACGAAGUCUUGCUCUUGUCGCCCAGGCAGGAGUGUAGUGGCGUGAUUUCGGUUCAUUGAAACAUCUACCUCCCGAGUUCAAGCGAUUCUCCUGCCUUAGUCUCCUGAGUAGCUGGGAUUACAUGUGCGUGCCACACGCCUGGCUAAUUUUUUUGUAUUUUUAGUAGAGACGGGGUUUCACAAUGUUGGUCAUGCUGGUCUCGAACUCCUGACCUCAUGAUCCACCCGCCAUGGACUCCCAAAGUGCUGGGAUUACAGGUGUGAGCCACCGCGCCCGGCCUGGUUGCAGAUUUCUUUCAGCUCUUGUCAUUGCAGUUGAAGAGAGACCAUACGACAUUCUAGAGAUGGCUGCAGGCAAGCAUCUAAAACCUUUGAGAGAACAACAGCACAUCAGGGAGAGUAUUAUCAUGACUAUUGGGAGGAUAAUACCAAGAAGUUGGAGUAUGCUCUUUACCUAAGGUCCCCACAAACCAGAAUGCUUAAGAUUAAAUAGAUCAAAGGAUAAGCUAGAUAAAGAGCCUACAUACUUAACUAAGCAGUCUCUUCAUUAAUCUUCUACCAGUGAAUUUCUCCAAUAGGCCAUGAGUACCAGCAGCUGGAGAGACACUUCUGUGUUCAGCCAAUUCCGUGUGAACUCCACAAGAGAAUUUAAAAUUUGUUGCAUCCUUUACAGUGGAAUUUGCUAUAGAGCCUAUAAUGAGCAUACAUUUGUAAUCAUUGCUUCUUCUAUUUUAAACCACGGAAGAAAAACCUAACAAAUGAUGCCCUUCUAGAAGAGUGAAGGCCUCCUGGUAAUGUUCUCUUUAACCCAUGAUGUGGGUUAAGAGGAAUGAACCAAUAUUUUGUUUCUGACUGAUUAUGAGGCAAUGUAUGUACCAUUAAAGUUUCUUACUGACAUUGGGCCUUUAUCUUGUAUCCACCAAAGUAUAAAGUUAUCCAUGUGUAAGGCUGGUUGUAAACACAUUCACAAAUAAAAGUACACCCCAUAAGUGCACAUAA
Pongo pygmaeus (Bornean orangutan) is the source of this 15636-nucleotide long non-coding RNA. RefSeq lists it as uncharacterized. The transcript is spliced from 5 exons. NCBI's taxonomy places the organism in Eukaryota, Metazoa, Chordata, Mammalia, Primates, Hominidae. The record is from RefSeq and is a predicted model, not a curated record.